GUGAAUUGCAGAAUCCCGCGAACCAUCAAUUCUUUGAACGCAAGUUGCGCCUGAAGCCAUUCGGCCGAGGGCACGCCUGCCUGGGUGUCGUGA
RNAcentral lists this ribosomal RNA (93 nucleotides) under Rhynchanthera grandiflora. RNAcentral's name for it is "partial 5.8S ribosomal RNA". It matches the Rfam family "5.8S ribosomal RNA", at positions 67 to 154 of the family's 154-position model. Rfam says of the family: 5.8S ribosomal RNA (5.8S rRNA) is a component of the large subunit of the eukaryotic ribosome. It is transcribed by RNA polymerase I as part of the 45S precursor that also contains 18S and 28S rRNA. Functionally, it is thought that 5.8S rRNA may be involved in ribosome translocation. The record is from RNAcentral. Lineage: Eukaryota; Viridiplantae; Streptophyta; Magnoliopsida; Myrtales; Melastomataceae.